Pan troglodytes (chimpanzee) is the source of this 1048-nucleotide long non-coding RNA. RefSeq lists it as uncharacterized. The record is from RefSeq and is a predicted model, not a curated record. The transcript is spliced from 8 exons. NCBI's taxonomy places the organism in Eukaryota, Metazoa, Chordata, Mammalia, Primates, Hominidae.
CACCCGGGCCCGCCCAUCUCAGGCCGGCAGUCCGCCUCAGGCUCUCCGCUUCGCGUCCAGCCGCCGUGGUGGCGUCUGGGAACUGAAGAUGCAGAAAUGGAGGUUCAGAAAGUCAAAAUGGGGGUCACGUAGCAGGGCUAUAUGGUGAGAAGCCAUCUGGUGAAGGGGCUCUUCGGGGUGGUGUGAUUCUGCCACUCUGAAACUUCACAACAUUUUUUUUUAUUAGUCUUCGUGCUAGGAGGAAGAGAUGCCAACAGCCCCCCAAGUGUUCUAGUAUCCCAGCUGAAGCAAUAGGCAUGUGAGUGAAGAAGCAGUCUUGGACCUUUCAUCUUCAGAGAAUGUCACGAGGAACAGAGAUAAGCCACCCCUGCUGAGCCCUGCCCAAUCUGCAGAUUCGAGUCUCACUCUGUCGCCCAGGCUGGAGCGCAGUGGCGUGAUCUCGGCUCACUACAACCUCUGCCUCCCGGGUUCAAGCCAUUCUCUCUGCCUCAGCCUCCAAAGUAGCUGGGAUUACAGGCACUGGGGAAACUCUUUUUCUCCUUACUCCUGGAGAUUCUGAUUUCACUGUGCGACCUGAUGGGGAGUUGCCAGGAGAAGGACUGCGUCGGCCUUUGGAAGCUGGUGAAGCCGCACUUGCCUGGACCUCUCCUGGAGACUCAGCUGCUAAGUGAUUCAUUUCAGAUCCAUCUCCUUUAACUGGGAUUGGUUUUACCACCUGAAUCAAAGUAUUCCAAUAUUUUGAUUACUUAAAAAUAUAAAAGGAAUACCCUUUGCCAUCUCAAUAUGGCUUCAAUGAAGAAUUUCCUACCACCAUUCUAUGGCAGUUAGCUGCUCUCCCCCUGCAUGAAGGUAACAAUGUUGACUAGCAACAUCUAGAAUAUGAAGACUGCUGUACAAGGCUGCUUCUGCUGGUAAUGAGGGAGGGAAGAAGCUCUAGCCAGAAGACAAAGGAGGCUUCAACUGUUUCUUUAAUAUUAGUUCCUUUAAAAAAUACACAUCCAACUGCACUGCAGCAAGUACAAUAAAAUAUUAACAUUUAUUAAAUACA